This is a small nuclear RNA of Dromiciops gliroides (monito del monte), 104 nucleotides long. The record is from RefSeq and is a predicted model, not a curated record. Lineage: Eukaryota; Metazoa; Chordata; Mammalia; Microbiotheria; Microbiotheriidae.
GUGCUUGUUUCUGCAGCACCUAUACCAAAAUUGGAAUAAUACAGAGAUUAGCAUGGGCCCUGAGCAAGGAUGACAAGCAAAUUCAUGAAGGAAUAAAGGAAGGU